Long non-coding RNA from Xiphophorus hellerii (green swordtail), 183 nucleotides. RefSeq lists it as uncharacterized. The record is from RefSeq and is a predicted model, not a curated record. Lineage: Eukaryota; Metazoa; Chordata; Actinopteri; Cyprinodontiformes; Poeciliidae. The transcript is spliced from 3 exons.
UUUUAGUACACUUUCUUCUAGUAAACUUUGGAUCACAAACUGCUGUUGUGAAUUUAGACCAAUCAGUGCUCCCUGAUUUUCUGGUGGAUGGAAACAAAGUUUUCCCUCCGAGUGUUACAAACCAGCAAGCCUACGCAGAUCUGAGCGGCUGCAGGUCAUCAGGCGUUCUGUUCAGACCUGGAG